Azospirillum brasilense is the source of this 403-nucleotide non-coding RNA. NCBI's taxonomy places the organism in Bacteria, Pseudomonadati, Pseudomonadota, Alphaproteobacteria, Rhodospirillales, Azospirillaceae. The record is from Rfam.
CCAGAUGGCCGGAUGGCCGCCUUCGACCUUUUAGAUCGGGGGAGGAAAGUCCGGGCUCCACGGAAACACGGUGCCGGCUAACGGCCGGCGGGGGCGACCCUAGGGAAAGUGCCACAGAGAGCAAACCGCCACCGGCCUCGUGCCGGCGGUAAGGGUGAAAGGGUGCGGUAAGAGCGCACCGCGCGCCUGGCAACAGGGGCGGCACGGUAAACCCCACCGGGAGCAAGACCGAAUAGGGGCGGCACGGCCCGCCAUCUCUUAGGAGAUGGUCUGGGGCCAAGCGCGUUUCCGCGCCGCCGCCCGGGUUGGUUGCGUGAGGCGCCGGGCAACCGGCGUCCCAGAUGAAUGGCCAUCCAUCAGGGUAACCUGAGGACAAAACCCGGCUUACAGGCCAUCUGGCGUU